CUAAACGACUCUCGGCAACGGAUAUCUCGGCUCUCGCAUCGAUGAAGAACGUAGCGAAAUGCGAUACUUGGUGUGAAUUGCAGAAUCCCGUGAACCAUCGAGUCUUUGAACGCAAGUUGCGCCCGAAACCAUUCGGUUGAAGGCACGUCUGCCUGGGCGUCACGCA
This 166-nucleotide ribosomal RNA is filed under the name Rhynchocorys orientalis. RNAcentral describes it as "5.8S ribosomal RNA". It matches the Rfam family "5.8S ribosomal RNA". From Rfam's summary of the family: 5.8S ribosomal RNA (5.8S rRNA) is a component of the large subunit of the eukaryotic ribosome. It is transcribed by RNA polymerase I as part of the 45S precursor that also contains 18S and 28S rRNA. Functionally, it is thought that 5.8S rRNA may be involved in ribosome translocation. Lineage: Eukaryota; Viridiplantae; Streptophyta; Magnoliopsida; Lamiales; Orobanchaceae. The record is from RNAcentral.